Molecule: ribosomal RNA, 264 nt
Filed under: uncultured archaeon
Lineage: Archaea
Description: partial 16S ribosomal RNA
Rfam family: Archaeal small subunit ribosomal RNA
Source: RNAcentral
AGACGUCUACAUUAGAUACCCCCGUAGUCCCAGCCCUAAACGAUGCGCGUUAGGUGUAUCGGUGACCACGAGUCACCGAGGUGCCGAAGGGAAACCGUGAAACGUGCCGCCUGGGAAGUACGGUCGCAAGGCUGAAACUUAAAGGAAUUGGCGGGGAGCACCACAACGGGUGGAGCCUGCGGUUCAAUUGGACUCAACGCCGGGAAGCUCACCGGAUAAGACAGCGGAAUGAUUGCCGGGCUGAAGACCCUGCAUGACCAGCUG